RNAcentral lists this ribosomal RNA (253 nucleotides) under uncultured bacterium. RNAcentral describes it as "partial 16S ribosomal RNA". It matches the Rfam family "Bacterial small subunit ribosomal RNA", at positions 524 to 776 of the family's 1533-position model. The record is from RNAcentral.
UACGUAGGUGGCAAGCGUUAUCCGGAUUUACUGGGUGUAAAGGGAGCGUAGACGGCUGUGCAAGUCUGAAGUGAAAGGCCGGGGCCCAACCCCGGGAGUGCUUUGGAAACUGUGCGGCUAGAGUGUCGGAGAGGCAAGUGGAAUUCCCAGUGUAGCGGUGAAAUGCGUAGAUAUUGGGAGGAACACCAGUGGCGAAGGCGUCUUGCUGGACGAUGACUGACGUUGAGGCUCGAAAGCGUGGGGAGCAAACAGG